GACGAACGCUGGCGGCGUGCUUAACACAUGCAAGUCGAACGGAAAGGCCCUGCUUUUGUGGGGUGCUCGAGUGGCGAACGGGUGAGUAACACGUGAGUAACCUGCCCUUGACUUUGGGAUAACUUCAGGAAACUGGGGCUAAUACCGGAUAGGAGCUCCUGCUGCAUGGUGGGGGUUGGAAAGUUUCGGCGGUUGGGGAUGGACUCGCGGCUUAUCAGCUUGUUGGUGGGGUAGUGGCUUACCAAGGCUUUGACGGGUAGCCGGCCUGAGAGGGUGACCGGCCACAUUGGGAGGGGGAUACGGCCCAGACCCCUGCGGGGGGCAGGGGGGGGGAAUAUGGCAAAAUGGGGGGAAGCGUGAGGCAGAAACGGCGGGGGGGGGGUGAGGGCCUUCGGGUUGUAACCCGCUUUCGCCGGGGACGAGGGGGGGGGGAGGGUAAGGGGUAAAGAAGCAGCGGCUAACUACGU
Molecule: ribosomal RNA, 467 nt
Filed under: uncultured bacterium
Lineage: Bacteria
Description: partial 16S ribosomal RNA
Rfam family: Bacterial small subunit ribosomal RNA
Source: RNAcentral